Molecule: ribosomal RNA, 539 nt
Filed under: Nemopsis bachei
Lineage: Eukaryota; Metazoa; Cnidaria; Hydrozoa; Anthoathecata; Bougainvilliidae
Description: partial large subunit ribosomal RNA
Rfam family: Bacterial large subunit ribosomal RNA
Source: RNAcentral
CUAAAAAAGCUUAAAGGACGCAGUAUCUUGACUGUGAUAAUGUAGCAUAAUCACUCGCCACUUAAUUCGGUGGAUAGUAUGAAUGGUUAAACGAAUAUUACACUCGUCUCUAAAAGAAAUCCCAUGAAAUUAAAAUAAUAGUAAAGAUGCUAUUUAAAGCUAUAAGACGAAAAGACCCUAUAGAGCUUAACUACAUUAUGUGUUUUAAAAAAUUAAAUAUAAACUUAAAAAAAUACACAUCUUGGUAGUUUAGUUGGGGCGACUGUCUUUUAAAAUAAACAAAGACAAGCAAUGUUAAUAAUAAACUUAUUGUAUAAUAUAUAAAUUUAACAAUUAUAAAAAUAGGCUAUAAUGACCCAUUAGAUUUUAAUAACAAAACUAAUGAUUAAUAAAUAAAAGCUACCUUAGGGAUAACAGGAUAAUUUUGUUUUAGAGAUCUAAUCGAAGACAAAGUUUGUCACCUCUAUGUUGAAUUAAGAUAUCCUGAUAGUGCAGAAGCUAUCAAAGGUAGGUCUGUUCGACCUAUAAAAUCUUACAUG